ACAGAGGCCUCGAGCGUUAGGCGGAAUCACUGGGCUUAAAGCGUGUGUAGGCGGACCGUUAAGUACCUUGUGAAAUCCCACGGCUCACCCGUGGAACGGCUGGGUAUACUGGCGGUCUUGGGCCGACUAGGGGCAGCCGGAACAAGCGGUGGAGCGGUGAAAUGCGUAGAUAUCGCUUGGAACGCCGAAGGUGAAAACAGGUCGCUGGGGAUGUGCCGACGCUGAGACACGAAAGCCAGGGGAGCAAACGGGA
RNAcentral lists this ribosomal RNA (253 nucleotides) under uncultured prokaryote. RNAcentral's name for it is "partial 16S ribosomal RNA". It matches the Rfam family "Bacterial small subunit ribosomal RNA", at positions 525 to 777 of the family's 1533-position model. The record is from RNAcentral.